UGACUUUCGUUUCCUCACAGUGGUCC
RNAcentral lists this non-coding RNA (26 nucleotides) under Homo sapiens (human). The record is from RNAcentral. Lineage: Eukaryota; Metazoa; Chordata; Mammalia; Primates; Hominidae.